AGAGGGAGCAUCACAGUGUACAAAUCCACUUAAUCCUGUGCCUUAAAGUCCACAAACCGGCUUCAUCUUUUUACAAAAUAAGUGAUAUUUUCCUUAAUUAAAUCCUGCCAAACACAA
Perca fluviatilis (European perch) is the source of this 117-nucleotide long non-coding RNA. RefSeq lists it as uncharacterized. Lineage: Eukaryota; Metazoa; Chordata; Actinopteri; Perciformes; Percidae. The transcript has 2 exons. The record is from RefSeq and is a predicted model, not a curated record.